AUGACGCCGCCCCCGUCGUCCCAGCCCCUCCUCCUGCUCACCCACCAGCUCCUCUCCGCCGUCUCCGUCCUCGUCCUCGACCUCCUCGGCCCCUCCCCCGACCCCGACGCCGCCCGCAAGCGCAGGCGGACCGACGGCGACGGCGACGAGGCCGGCCCCGCGACCCCCGUCGCCCCGCCUCCUCCCCUGCCCCCGCCUUCGCCGCUGCUGCCGCUGCCGCCGACGAGCCCGGACCACUACCCGCUGGCCUUCCGCGUGUCCGCGCCCACCUUCCACUACCUCUCGGGCCUGCUCGACCCGCUGCUCUCCCACCCCUCGCUCCCGUGCCCGACCCUCCUCGCGCUCGCCCUCGCGCGCCUCGCCUCCGGCCUCCCCUACCCGGCGCUCGCCGCGCUCUUCCGCGUCCCGCCCUCCGCGCCGCGGGCCGCCUCCCGCCGCCUCCGCCGCGUCCUCCUCGCCAACUUCCGCUUCUGGCUCGCCUUCCCCUCCGAUCCGGCCGGCGCCUCCUCCUCCCCGCUCCCCUCCUGCCGCGGCGCGCUCGCCUGCGCGCGCUUCGCCGGCCCGGGCGGGCCCCUCGCCGCGCAGCUCGUCGCCGGCGCCUCCUCCCGCAUCCUCUCCCUCGCCGCCGGCUUCCGCGGCGACCGCGCCGACCUCGAGGUGCUCAGGCUCUCGUCCCUGCACCAGGAGCUGGAGCAGGGGAAGCUACUCAACCCCGCGCAGUACCUGGUUGCGGAUGGAAACGGGUACCCGCUCCUCCGCUGGCUCAUGCUGCCCUUCGAGGGGCCUGUCGUGCCCGGCUCGCCGGAGGCCCAUUUCAACACUGCCCACAAGGCAAUGUGCCGCCCGGCGAGGCGCGCCAUCCGGAGCCUGAUGGGGUGGGGCGCCAUCGCGCGGCUCCACGAGGAGGAGAGCCCUCGCGCCGCCGUGACGUGCAUUGGGACCUGCGCGAUGCUCCACAAUGUGCUGCUGGCGAGGGAGGAUUACUCUGCAUUGGCACCGGAGGAGGGGGAGGAAGAAGCAGAGACUGAUUUGGGGGCAAUGCAGAGCCGGAGAGAUCAUGCCGCAGAGGAAGGGUUCAAGGUUGAUAAGCGGGCAGUAGCGCUGCGGAGCGCAUUGGCAGCAACGAUGAAUGAUUGGCGGACGCCGGCCUAA
This 1152-nucleotide ribosomal RNA is filed under the name Triticum aestivum (bread wheat). Its description in RNAcentral is "partial small subunit ribosomal RNA". The record is from RNAcentral. Lineage: Eukaryota; Viridiplantae; Streptophyta; Magnoliopsida; Poales; Poaceae.